RNAcentral lists this microRNA (20 nucleotides) under Corchorus olitorius. RNAcentral describes it as "cin-miR-4162-". The record is from RNAcentral. Lineage: Eukaryota; Viridiplantae; Streptophyta; Magnoliopsida; Malvales; Malvaceae.
AAGAAGAUGAUCAACAGCAA